GACGAACGCUGGCGGCGUGCCUAAUACAUGCAAGUCGAGCGGAACUGGGGGAGCUUGCUCCUUCCAGUUUAGCGGCGGACGGGUGAGUAACACGUGGGCAACCUGCCCUGCAGAUCGGGAUAACUCCGGGAAACCGGUGCUAAUACCGAAUAGUUUGGCGCCUCUCCUCAGGCGCCACGGAACGACGGUUUCGGCUGUCCCUGCAGGAUGGGCCCGCGGCGCAUUAGCUAGUUGGUGGGGUAACGGCCCACCAAGGCGACGAUGCGUAGCCGACCUGAGAGGGUGACCGGCCACACUGGGACUGAGACACGGCCCAGACUCCUACGGGAGGCAGCAGUAGGGAAUCUUCCGCAAUGGACGCAAGUCUGACGGAGCAACGCCGCGUGAGUGACGAAGGUUUUCGGAUCGUAAAACUCUGUUGUGAGGGAAGAACACGUACCAACUAACUAUUGGUACCUUGACGGUACCUCACCAGAAAGCCACGGCUAACUACGUGCCAGCCGCCGCCGUAA
Molecule: ribosomal RNA, 512 nt
Filed under: uncultured bacterium
Lineage: Bacteria
Description: partial 16S ribosomal RNA
Rfam family: Bacterial small subunit ribosomal RNA
Source: RNAcentral